RNAcentral lists this ribosomal RNA (468 nucleotides) under uncultured bacterium. Its description in RNAcentral is "partial 16S ribosomal RNA". It matches the Rfam family "Bacterial small subunit ribosomal RNA", at positions 28 to 507 of the family's 1533-position model. The record is from RNAcentral.
GACGAACGCUGGCGGCGUGCUUAACACAUGCAAGUCGAACGGAAAGGCCCUGCUUUUGUGGGGUGCUCGAGUGGCGAACGGGUGAGUAACACGUGAGUAACCUGCCCUUGACUUUGGGAUAACUUCAGGAAACUGGGGCUAAUACCGGAUAGGAGCUCCUGCUGCAUGGUGGGGGUUGGAAAGUUUCGGCGGUUGGGGAUGGACUCGCGGCUUAUCAGCUUGUUGGUGGGGUAGUGGCUUACCAAGGCUUUGACGGGUAGCCGGCCUGAGAGGGUGACCGGCCACAAUAGGACUAAGGUACGGCCCAGACUCCUACGGGAGGCAGCAGUGGGGAAUAUUACACAAUGAGCGGAAGCCUGAUGCAGCAACGCCGCGUGCGGGAUGACGGCCUUCGGGUUGUAAACCGCUUUCGCCUGUGACGAAGCGUGAGUGACGGUAAUGGAUAAAGAAGCACCGGCUAACUACGUG